AACGAACGCUGGCGGCAUGCCUAACACACGCGACUCGAGCGAGACCUUCGUGUCUAGGGGCGCGGGUGUGUAACACGUGUGGGAACGUGCCCUUAGUUUCGAAAUAACUCCCCAAGAGGGGUUCUAAUAGCGUAAAAUGUUUGCGGACAAAAGAUAUAUCGCCUUUGUAUGGGCCCGCGUUGGAUUAGCUAGUUGGUAGGGUAAAAGCCUACCAAGGCGACGAUCCAUAGCUGGUCUGAGAGGAUGAUCAGCCACACUGGGACUGAGACACGGCCCAGACUCCUACGGGAGGCAGCAGUGGGGAAUAUUGGACAAUGGGCGAAAGCCUGAUCCAGCAAUGCCGCGUGAGUGAUGAAGGCCUUAGGGUUGUAAAGCUCUUUUACCCGGGAUGAUAAUGACAGUACCGGGAGAAUAAGCUCCGGCUAACUCCGUG
This 433-nucleotide ribosomal RNA is filed under the name uncultured bacterium. RNAcentral describes it as "partial 16S ribosomal RNA". It matches the Rfam family "Bacterial small subunit ribosomal RNA", at positions 29 to 507 of the family's 1533-position model. The record is from RNAcentral.